Molecule: ribosomal RNA, 457 nt
Filed under: uncultured bacterium
Lineage: Bacteria
Description: bacterial SSU rRNA
Rfam family: Bacterial small subunit ribosomal RNA
Source: RNAcentral
UACGGGAGGCAGCAGUGGGGAAUAUUGCACAAUGGGCGAAAGCCUGAUGCAGCUAUGCCGCGUGUAUGAAGAAGGCCUUAGGGUUGUAAAGUACUUUCAUCGGGGAGGAAAAAACAAAACUAAUAAUUUUAUUUCUUGACGUUACCCGAAAAAGAAGCACCGGCUAACUCCGUGCCAGCAGCCGCGGUAAUACGGAGGGUGCUAGCGUUAAUCAGAAUUACUGGGCGUAAAGAGCACGUAGGUGGUUUUUUUAAGUCAGAUGUGAAAUCCCCUGGGCUUAACCUGGAACUGCAUUUUUGAAACUGAAAUACUAGAGUAUCGUAGAGGGAGGUAGAAUUCUAGGUGUAGCGGUGAAAUGCGUAGAUAUCUGGAGGAAUACCUGUGGCGAAAGCGGCCUCCUAAACGAAUACUGACACUGAGGUGCGAAAGCGUGGGGAGCAAACAGGGAUUAGAUACC